CAGCGCUGAAGCCGCUUGGUUGCUCCCGGUCGACGGGCUCUCCGACUCCGAUGAAGAAGUGAGCUCCGAUGACGGGGUCGGGGUGGAGGGAGGAGGGUCUACUUGCGUCGGAUCUUGCUGUUGGAGAUCAUACACCGGGCUCGCUGGGCUGCAUCUGAUGAACUGGGACAACUCCGACAAGGAUAUGAUGUUAGAGGGACCUGGCAACUGCAAAGCGAAUGCGUUAUCACACGUUAAGCCAAAAAGAAAAAAGGAAAACACACUUCCCAAAACUAUAGGCUACCAGAAUAAAUCAUAAAUCCCACAAAUUUUCCUGGGAGCAUAUGGCUGCAGAUAUUCACCAGAUUUCGCCACGUCUCGUUUUUUUUUUUCUUCUCCUUCCACGCAGGAACUCCGGAGCUGCAAUGUGAAACUGAUUCAGUGUGUGUUUUUUGCCAUGAAGGCAGGGACCUCCCCUAGCCUAUAUUCAUUUACAUACGUCAGUAAAUACAGCUGUCCUUCAACAAGGCUAAAAGACAGGUCUACCUUGAUGCAGGCACUUCGACACACGCGAACACAGAGGAGGGGGGGGGGGUUUAAACUAAAAUGACUUCCACCAAAUGGCACACUUCGUUCUUUUUAUGCAGUGGAAAGUGACGCACCUGAAGCGCGUUAUUAUACCGCAAAGAUCUCUCAUGUAUACCGGCAAACCUUUUCCUUACAAUAAAACAAAUAUGUCUUAUAAUAUAGGCAUAUAUUUAAGCACAAUGUAGGCUAUAAAACUAAGAUAAUUAAAUAUAGGUCAUACGAUAAAGUUGACUGGGCAAAUGAGUAUAAAAUAUUCAACAUAAAAGUCUAUAUGAUUAGGGAUUUUAUUAUAGCGCAAAGAGGGACUCGGCCCGAGGUCCGCAUUGACACAGGUUGGCAUUGACAGAAUACAAGAUGUUCCCAUGUGGGCUAUACUUGCAUUUGAAUAACUUAAAGCCAAGGCUGGAACAUCACUGAAAGCUCGUGUUCUCUAUUCAAAGUUAGACACUGUAUAUUAUACCUUUCAUGCAAAAUUCUCCCUUACUUUGCAUUUCAGAGACAACGCCUUGCAAAAGCCCAAUUAACAUUUGAGCACACCCUCGAAUUUUAUCAAGACAGAGAAUUGCAUUCAGAAAGCUACACGGUUGCCACGUUAUUAAAUUCAGUAGUGAGCAGGACAAUCUAAAAUGUAAAUAAAGCACAAUAUGUUUGAUCAUUGCGAGGCUUACACUGAGCAAUUGAGCAUUUUCGGUCAGCUGGGGCACAUGCAACGCGCAAUCACACAGUGUCGAAUAAUCUAACGUUACAAUUAAAUUAAAAUAACAUUGAUAAGGCUCCUCUUGACUGUCGGAACCUGACUGCAGGACGAGCUAGAACAUGCAGCCAAGGCCAUUCAAUAACAUGACUGCGAUAGUCUGUAGACUUUGAAAAUAACACUCCAGAUGACAUGGCGGAUCAUUUUAGCAGUAUGAUGGCAGUGACACAAGUGGGUCUUUCGAGAUAAUCGCAAUAGCCAGCGUUGUAGGCUACACACCCCACCAGUUAAUCCGUGUUUUUCUCCUCCAAGAGCUGCGCUUCCAAGGUCAUCAGAGCAGCACAAUCAGCAGCCUUCAGUAGCUCACCUCACCGGCCCUUCACCACAGACACUGCCCAAAUCAAAAGCCUAUUUAUCGCGCCGAUCGGAUGCCUCAUCUGGUACAUUUCAUGAAGCUGUCUUGCCUUGAAAUCCCCCCUUUAAUCCAUGUGUCCCCCUUUAACACACAAACGACAACACAGCAUGCACACACAGCGUGGUCGCUUCUCUGCCUUGACGUGAAGCGUAAUAUUACCUUUAUCGUUCACCUUUUUGGGACUCUGUAAAUAAAGAUAUUUCUGUUU
Long non-coding RNA from Perca fluviatilis (European perch), 1884 nucleotides. RefSeq lists it as uncharacterized. The transcript is spliced from 2 exons. The record is from RefSeq and is a predicted model, not a curated record. Lineage: Eukaryota; Metazoa; Chordata; Actinopteri; Perciformes; Percidae.